CAAUAGCGUAUAUUAAAGUUGUUGCGGUUAAAAAGCUCGUAGUUGGAUUUCUGCUGAGAACGACCGGUCCGCCCUUUGGGUGUGUAUCUGGCUCUUUCUUGGCAUCUUCUUGGUGAACGUUGCUGCACUUGACUGUGUGGAGCGCUACCCAGGACUUUUACUUUGAGGAAAUUAGAGUGUUUCAAGCAGGCAGACGCCUUGAAUACAUUAGCAUGGAAUAAUAAGAUAGGACCUCGGUUCUAUUUUGUUGGUUUCUAGAGCUGAGGUAAUGAUUAAUAGGGAUAGUUGGGGGCAUUCGUAUUUAACCGUCAGAGGUGAAAUUCUUGGAUUUGUUAAAGACGGACUACUGCGAAAGCAUUUGCCAAGGAUGUUUUCAUUGA
Molecule: ribosomal RNA, 380 nt
Filed under: uncultured eukaryote
Lineage: Eukaryota
Description: partial 18S ribosomal RNA
Rfam family: Eukaryotic small subunit ribosomal RNA
Source: RNAcentral